AGCAGAGUAGGAUUUCGUGCGUUAAGUGUCAUCGGAACGGGGAGUUGUCCGGUGAACGAAAAGGUAAAACUUGCGGUACGAUAUUCGCAUCCCGCUGCU
Regulatory RNA element from Anaerocolumna jejuensis DSM 15929, 99 nucleotides. It matches the Rfam family "THF (Tetrahydrofolate) riboswitch aptamer". Rfam says of the family: THF riboswitch presents a pseudoknot that joins P1-P2 and the loop of P3 and two THF binding. The record is from Rfam. Lineage: Bacteria; Bacillati; Bacillota; Clostridia; Lachnospirales; Lachnospiraceae.